This is an RNA transcript of Phyllopteryx taeniolatus (common seadragon), 5201 nucleotides long. RefSeq lists it as uncharacterized. Lineage: Eukaryota; Metazoa; Chordata; Actinopteri; Syngnathiformes; Syngnathidae. The record is from RefSeq and is a predicted model, not a curated record. The transcript is spliced from 3 exons.
UCAUGAUCUUAUGACUUUGUGGCUCACAGUUCUGACUCACCCCCACAGUUUUAUGAAUGUAUUCUCCAAACAUAUAUAUUUUUUCAUUUCAGUGUUCCCCUUGUAAAUGUGGAACAUGGAUAGUUAGCGUCUACUCGAGCGCCCAACCAAAAAAAAAAAAACAACCCGGUGUUCAGAGUAAUGAGCUGUAGUUCAAAUGAGAACAGCCAUCUUCUCCUCCUCAGCAGGUCCAAUUUACUCCGGCACAUUAUCCCUGGCAAACCGGCAGCUGCGCCGAACGCUUCCGUGAAGGCACGUUGGAUAACACGAGCCCGGAAGGAUUAGGGGCUGACUCUCACUCCCGGGCGACACUAAAGCGCGCAUUAUUCAUCCCGGCCUCCGCCUCCGCCUCCUCACCCCUCGUCACCUUUUUCGCUCCCACCAGCCCACUGGCUCUGCGGCUCCCUCGUGACUCUCCCCGCACGUUCCUGACACUUGCAUAAGCUCACGGAACCUCUCUCCGGACCGCGGCGGCGGGAGCCGGGAGCCGCGACGGCGUUAAUUAAAAGAAAAGGUUAACACACACGAGGCCGGCAGGAGGCGCAUUCCGGGGGGGCUCCCUCGGCGGAGCAUCUGCUCGGUUCCCACCCUCGGAGCCGCCCCGCCUCCUUCGCCCUCCAGGAAAACUAGGACCCGGGUACCCGAGGACCCGAGCCAAGUUGAUGGGGUCCGACUGGGACGUAAAGGAUGAACCUAAAACUAAAGAGGCCGCUCCACGUGCUUCCGUUCACCUGUCCGGCCUGGGCCUUCUUGCUUGGGAGCUGACGAGUGUGUCCCAGAGAAGGUCUCACCUCCCUCAACACCGCACACACACACACACACACGCCUUCAUGAGACAGCGGGACAUGUGCCAGAUCCGAGUGUCAUCAAGGACAGGAGAAGCAGACAGAAAGGGAGUCAGCACAGCUCGGCGGAGAGCGAGAGAGAGGACGAGAGCGCAGCGGCUCCCCGGGGGACGACGUGGCCCGACGGGUUUGGUUUGUACGGCCGUCACACGCUUGUGAGGGGGGUGAACGCGAAUGGCUGCUCCUCUGAGGAGCAAGAGCUUCUGCCAUGUUUGCUGUCAUGUUCCAAGGUAUCGCAACCCGGCUUCAAACACAUCAAACAUAUCUACGGGAAUACUGAUAUUGGGAAUGCCGUGGGGAAAUGCACAGAAGGCAAGGAAAAAAGAAAAACACACGUGCCCACGUCUGUGCCCCGAGUAUGCAGCAACCACACAAAAAUACAGCCAUCAUUUUUUUUAAAAAAAGUUGUUUCCCCCCCCCCCCUUGUGUUACCAAAUGCAUGUAAAUACAUAGAUAUUCCAAAAUGUUAAUAGUACAGGGUUUUAAUCCAGGUCAUACGUUCGAAGAGAACACAGGACCCUCUGCAUAUUAUUACUGCAUCUCAAUUGCAUAAAAGAAGCUGUCAAUGUUUUCAGUCUUGUUUCCAUGGCAACAAUGCUAACAGUCUGGCAAAGAGACACAAUGUGCUUUGUUCACAUUUUGAGACACAAAGGUGAUGGACAGCUACAAAUUGAACAUUGACAAUGCAACAUUUCUUUUCUUUUUUUUGUCACGGUCGUUAGAAUCAGGAAGAAAAACAAGUUGACUGCCGAGUUUUUAACACCAGCCUGCCCGCCCGCCAGGUCUGCUCAAUUACGAUGUGCCGAUGCCUCAUGCUUCUAUGCAAUGCUCAUAUUCAUACAGCGUUUCUCUCUUUGCUGUAUCCUUGCAGGAAUACAAGGUCAUUUGUGUGGUAGUACUUCACAAUCAGUUUGCUCCACCUACAGGCUAAAUGAUGAAUGAAUAUAGUUGCUCUACCAGGGGUGUCCAAACUUUUUCUUCCAAGGGUGGCAUACUGAAAACUCGAAGGAGGCAAGGGCCAAUUUGACAUCUUUAAUUCAUUUUGCAAACUAAACCAAGACCAUCAGUUGUAUGUAAAGAUAUACAAAGCAAUAAUAUCCUGCAUUUAUUUUUACGUAUACUGUUUCUUGAAAAAUAAAAAUAGCUAGGUAGUAAAGCAAAAAAAAAAAAAAAAAAAAAAAUCAAUGAUUUUCAGGAUUUUUGGAGGGCAAGUGGCCAUGUAUCCCACAAGAAUCGAUCCACCUCUGCAGCAAAAUCACAUCUGCACAUUUACAACCAAAACACGAGCAUUCUGUACGGAGUUAACCUUGGCCUCACAUCUUACCGAAUGAUGUGUGAUUGGUUGAAAACAAGAAAGCGAGCGAUAAGAACAAACUUGUUCGUCUCUUCUCCUGCCUUGCCACUCAGUGUUAAGCACUGCAGUACAAUGCAGGCAAAUGACUCUGGCUGCGUCAAAUGUUUAUUUUAAUCUAUGCCGCAGGCCAGGGAAAAAAAAAACAAAAAACGGAUGGCGUCCCUCAAAUGGCCUCCGCGCCAUAUUUUGGACACCCCUGUUCUAUACGUUCAUUCAAUAUAGACAAAAAUUAAUCGACCUUCGAAUUACAUUUUUCAAUCAAAUAAAAAUCAGUAAGAAUGACAUGAUUUUAUUGCAUAUAUGUCCAGUAAUGGCGGCUCUGUGAAUGGGAAAAGUAAAGGAUAGAUAGGAUAGAUCGGGAAGUUCAUGAAGUUUCUCGACAACACUGAGGUAAAUACGACAACUCUCAGCAUUCUCACAGUAAUACGACGUCGAAGUCUUUUAAGACGGCUGUACUUGAUUUACGGAGCGCCAGCAAAAUGGAUUUGACUAGCAGAGCGGCCAUUUGACGAAGGCUCCUUUUGUUUGCCGUGCCUCAAAAGGCGUGAAGACGAGGGCGCGCGUCUCCGCGUCGAGGCCCGACUCGUGUGGACGUUGGACUGGAUUAGACGGCUGACAGCUGGGCCACAUCUCUGGAGGCUCCUGAGGGCCCCCCGCCCCACCACUUGCUGUCCGCCCGCCUGCGCACCAAGUGUCAAUUUGAGCAUGAAGGGAAGAUGGAGCGCGCCAAGGAAGUGAUUUGCAGAUGUCACCGCUGUCAUCGGCCUCAUCAAAGACGGUGACGAGUCUGCAUAUCGACAGGAAGCGGAGCGGCUGGAGCUGCGGUGCGGCCGACGCGACCUGGAGCUGAACACGCUCAAGACUGUAGAGAUGAUCGUGGACUUCAGGAGGUAUCCUUCGCCACAGCUGCCCCUCACACUGUCCAGCUGCCUUGUGUCAACCGUCGAGACCUUCGAGUUCCUGGGAAUUACAGUCUCUCAGGACCUGAAGUGGGCGGUCAACAUCAACCCCGUCCUCAAAAAGGCCCAGCAGAGGAUGUACUUCCUGCGGCUUCUGAAGACGCACGGCCUGCCACAGGAGCUGCUGAGGCAGUUCUACACAGCGGUCAUCGAAUCAGUCCUGUGUUCUUCCAUCACAGUCUGGUUUGGUGCUGCUACAAAAAAGGGCAAACUCCGACUGCAACGGACAAUCAAAACUGCUGAAAGGAUUGUCGGUACCCCCCUACCCAUCCUUGAGGACUUGCACGCUGCCAGAACUAAGACAAGAGCGUGCAAAAUCCUCUCGGACCCUCCACACUGGUCAUCAGCUCUUCCAGCUCCUUCCCUCAGGUAGGCGCUACCGAUCAAUGCAAACUAGAACUAGCAGACAUUCCAACAGCUUCUUCCCUCUUGCAAUCAACUUCUUAAACAGCUAACCUACAAUUCCUUUGCAACAUGCUGGCAAUUUUUUUGUCUCGAGUUUGUUGUCACAUUUCUGUCGGGCCAAUUAUGAAUUACUCGUGCACUCACUGUGGUAGUCUCGCCACGCUGCACUAUUUGCAUAUCUGUUGUUGAUCAAUACUGGCCACUCAUGCCAGAGUAGCAUCUGCACCACUUGCACACUGACUGAAGAGUAUCUGCAACAUUUGCACAAUCGACAUUGUCCCAGACUAUCGCACUACUCGCUUGAAGUCUUUGAACCCUUUGCACAAUGGCCAUUCAAACUGCUCUAAGUGCAAGAGGACUCUACAUCUUUUUGCACAAUUGUCAAAAAAUGUAAAAAAUGGUACCGGCAUUACCAGAUUACUAGCAAGCCUUUAUUGCUCAGUGACUGUUUUUCUCAACGUCUUUAUGUCUCAAAAGUGUUCGCUGUCAAUUGACUGACUGUCUGUCUGUUGUCGUACUAGAGCGGCUCCAACUACCGGAGACAAAUUCCUUGUGUGUUUUUUGGACAUACUUGGCAAAUAAAGAUGAUCCUGAUUUUGAUUUCAUCAAAAGUGAUUUACUGUAGCUAAAACCAUUUUUCUUUUCAUGAGAUCAAUAAGCGGUGGUUAAAGAAACAUAUCAGGUAGGCGGGGAGGCUCGAAACGCUCUAUUACCAGUUGCAUUUUUUUCACCAUCAAAGGGACAUUCUGUGCUAACUACACACUCGCAGCAACCAGACAGUGUGGCCCACCAGCAGCUCUCUCUCACACACACACGCACAUGCACACACACACACUAUGCCACCUCGUUGCACAAGUAGCAUGGCGUAGAUGAGCGUUUCUUUGUUGUUGUUGUUGUUUUUUUUUAUACUCCUUUUCUUAUCCUUUCUGGUUUGAAGGCGAGCGUCCAAUUACAGCUCUAUUGCUAAUCAAUGCGAGACGUUAGGGCGUGUAUAAAUCACACUCCGCCGCACGGCUCGUUAACACGGGAAAGCCGCUGGGGGACGAGUGAGCCGAGCAAACAAUGUGACGCUCGGGCUCAACAAUGGAGACCAAAACACCAUUAUCACGUCCACAGAGCAGAUUCAUUGGACAGAUCGGCUGCCAUUUAGUCUGAAUGUUUGGCAUUUUAAAGACGUUGUCGGGAAUAAUUGUUUGUUUGCAGCCGGUCUACUGUUUUGAACCUACUGUGCUGAAUACCGAUUAAAUGUGUUCAAAUUCCCAGCCGCGUCAAGCAGUUGUGGGACCUCCAAAGUCGAACGCCCCCCAAACCGGAACAAUUUGGAGUUUAGCCAAUAUUAUUCUUCUGACAAAAUACGCAAACGAUUAAAAAUGAUGACGUCAGAAGCACUGACCUCCAUUUACAACCUCAAUUCUACUACUUGUUCCAUGAAGUUGUAUUCAUUUAUGCCCAACAGUUUAUUCACUUUCGUAGCAUUUCUCUUGGCUGUACUGUUUCCAGUACAUGUAUGCGGAUGCUAGAUCGAUUGUCCACUCAGAUUUCAGCCUCUACGUGCUGCCAAGUCAAAUUAAUCUGCCCAGGGCCUUCAGAAUCAGUAGU